This 63-nucleotide transfer RNA is filed under the name Rhinebothroides sp. MZUSP 8013. RNAcentral's name for it is "tRNA-Lys". Lineage: Eukaryota; Metazoa; Platyhelminthes; Cestoda; Rhinebothriidea; Rhinebothriidae. The record is from RNAcentral. RNAcentral also lists the same sequence under 2 other names.
CUCUGUAUAUCUAAGUUUAAGAGCUGGGUUCUUACCUCAGUAAUGUGUACUACACUAUAGAGU